RNAcentral lists this ribosomal RNA (2859 nucleotides) under Salmonella enterica subsp. enterica serovar Typhimurium. RNAcentral describes it as "bacterial LSU rRNA". It matches the Rfam family "Bacterial large subunit ribosomal RNA". The record is from RNAcentral. Lineage: Bacteria; Pseudomonadati; Pseudomonadota; Gammaproteobacteria; Enterobacterales; Enterobacteriaceae.
AGCGUACACGGUGGAUGCCCUGGCAGUCAGAGGCGAUGAAGGGCGUGCUAAUCUGCGAUAAGCGCCGGUAAGGUGAUAUGAACCGUUAUAACCGGCGAUACCCGAAUGGGGAAACCCAGUGUGAUUCGUCACACUAUCAUUAACUGAAUCCAUAGGUUAAUGAGGCGAACCGGGGGAACUGAAACAUCUAAGUACCCCGAGGAAAAGAAAUCAACCGAGAUUCCCCCAGUAGCGGCGAGCGAACGGGGAGGAGCCCAGAGCCUGAAUCAGCAUGUGUGUUAGUGGAAGCGUCUGGAAAGGUGCGCGAUACAGGGUGACAGCCCCGUACACAAAAGCGCAUGUGCUGUGAGCUCGAUGAGUAGGGCGGGACACGUGGUAUCCUGUCUGAAUAUGGGGGGACCAUCCUCCAAGGCUAAAUACUCCUGACUGACCGAUAGUGAACCAGUACCGUGAGGGAAAGGCGAAAAGAACCCCGGCGAGGGGAGUGAAAAAGAACCUGAAACCGUGUACGUACAAGCAGUGGGAGCACCCUUCGGGGUGUGACUGCGUACCUUUUGUAUAAUGGGUCAGCGACUUAUAUUCUGUAGCAAGGUUAACCGUAUAGGGGAGCCGGAGGGAAACCGAGUCUUAACCGGGCGUUAAGUUGCAGGGUAUAGACCCGAAACCCGGUGAUCUAGCCAUGGGCAGGUUGAAGGUUGGGUAACACUAACUGGAGGACCGAACCGACUAAUGUUGAAAAAUUAGCGGAUGACCUGUGGCUGGGGGUGAAAGGCCAAUCAAACCGGGAGAUAGCUGGUUCUCCCCGAAAGCUAUUUAGGUAGCGCCUCGUGAAUUCAUCUCCGGGGGUAGAGCACUGUUUCGGCUAGGGGGCCAUCCCGGCUUACCAACCCGAUGCAAACUGCGAAUACCGGAGAAUGUUAUCACGGGAGACACACGGCGGGUGCUAACGUCCGUCGUGAAGAGGGAAACAACCCAGACCGCCAGCUAAGGUCCCAAAGUCAUGGUUAAGUGGGAAACGAUGUGGGAAGGCCCAGACAGCCAGGAUGUUGGCUUAGAAGCAGCCAUCAUUUAAAGAAAGCGUAAUAGCUCACUGGUCGAGUCGGCCUGCGCGGAAGAUGUAACGGGGCUAAACCAUGCACCGAAGCUGCGGCAGCGAACGUAUCACCCAAGACAACUUUACGGAGUUGACGAUUGACGGAGCGAAGCGACGUCAAAGCGUUCAUUAAAGUCGAGUUGGCUUAGGGAUACGUUCGUUGGGUAGGGGAGCGUUCUGUAAGCCUGUGAAGGUGUGUCGUGAGGCAUGCUGGAGGUAUCAGAAGUGCGAAUGCUGACAUAAGUAACGAUAAAGCGGGUGAAAAGCCCGCUCGCCGGAAGACCAAGGGUUCCUGUCCAACGUUAAUCGGGGCAGGGUGAGUCGACCCCUAAGGCGAGGCCGAAAGGCGUAGUCGAUGGGAAACGGGUUAAUAUUCCCGUACUUGGUGUUACUGCGAAGGGGGGACGGAGAAGGCUAUGUUGGCCGGGCGACGGUUGUCCCGGUUUAAGCGUGUAGGUGUGUGUUCCAGGUAAAUCCGGUUCACUUUAACACUGAGGCGUGACGACGAGGCACUACGGUGCUGAAGCAACAAAUGCCCUGCUUCCAGGAAAAGCCUCUAAGCAUCAGGUAACACGAAAUCGUACCCCAAACCGACACAGGUGGUCAGGUAGAGAAUACCAAGGCGCUUGAGAGAACUCGGGUGAAGGAACUAGGCAAAAUGGUGCCGUAACUUCGGGAGAAGGCACGCUGACACGUAGGUGAAGUGAUUUACUCAUGGAGCUGAAGUCAGUCGAAGAUACCAGCUGGCUGCAACUGUUUAUUAAAAACACAGCACUGUGCAAACACGAAAGUGGACGUAUACGGUGUGACGCCUGCCCGGUGCCGGAAGGUUAAUUGAUGGGGUCAGCGCAAGCGAAGCUCCUGAUCGAAGCCCCGGUAAACGGCGGCCGUAACUAUAACGGUCCUAAGGUAGCGAAAUUCCUUGUCGGGUAAGUUCCGACCUGCACGAAUGGCGUAAUGAUGGCCAGGCUGUCUCCACCCGAGACUCAGUGAAAUUGAACUCGCUGUGAAGAUGCAGUGUACCCGCGGCAAGACGGAAAGACCCCGUGAACCUUUACUAUAGCUUGACACUGAACAUUGAGCCUUGAUGUGUAGGAUAGGUGGGAGGCUUUGAAGUGUGGACGCCAGUCUGCAUGGAGCCGACCUUGAAAUACCACCCUUUAAUGUUUGAUGUUCUAACGUGGACCCGUAAUCCGGGUUGCGGACAGUGUCUGGUGGGUAGUUUGACUGGGGCGGUCUCCUCCUAAAGAGUAACGGAGGAGCACGAAGGUUGGCUAAUCCUGGUCGGACAUCAGGAGGUUAGUGCAAUGGCAUAAGCCAGCUUGACUGCGAGCGUGACGGCGCGAGCAGGUGCGAAAGCAGGUCAUAGUGAUCCGGUGGUUCUGAAUGGAAGGGCCAUCGCUCAACGGAUAAAAGGUACUCCGGGGAUAACAGGCUGAUACCGCCCAAGAGUUCAUAUCGACGGCGGUGUUUGGCACCUCGAUGUCGGCUCAUCACAUCCUGGGGCUGAAGUAGGUCCCAAGGGUAUGGCUGUUCGCCAUUUAAAGUGGUACGCGAGCUGGGUUUAGAACGUCGUGAGACAGUUCGGUCCCUAUCUGCCGUGGGCGCUGGAGAACUGAGGGGGGCUGCUCCUAGUACGAGAGGACCGGAGUGGACGCAUCACUGGUGUUCGGGUUGUCAUGCCAAUGGCACUGCCCGGUAGCUAAAUGCGGAAGAGAUAAGUGCUGAAAGCAUCUAAGCACGAAACUUGCCCCGAGAUGAGUUCU